This 490-nucleotide ribosomal RNA is filed under the name uncultured bacterium. Its description in RNAcentral is "partial 16S ribosomal RNA". It matches the Rfam family "Bacterial small subunit ribosomal RNA", at positions 29 to 507 of the family's 1533-position model. The record is from RNAcentral.
AGUGAACGCUGGCGGCAGGCCUAACACAUGCAAGUCGAACGGUAACAGGAAACAGCUUGCUGUUUCGCUGACGAGUGGCGGACGGGUGAGUAAUGUCUGGGAAACUGCCUGAUGGAGGGGGAUAACUACUGGAAACGGUAGCUAAUACCGCAUAACGUCGCAAGACCAAAGAGGGGGACCUUCGGGCCUCUUGCCAUCGGAUGUGCCCAGAUGGGAUUAGCUAGUAGGUGGGGUAACGGCUCACCUAGGCGACGAUCCCUAGCUGGUCUGAGAGGAUGACCAGCCACACUGGAACUGAGACACGGUCCAGACUCCUACGGGAGGCAGCAGUGGGGAAUAUUGCACAAUGGGCGCAAGCCUGAUGCAGCCAUGCCGCGUGUAUGAAGAAGGCCUUCGGGUUGUAAAGUACUUUCAGCGGGGAGGAAGGGAGUAAAGUUAAUACCUUUACUCAUUGACGUUACCCGCAGAAGAAGCACCGGCUAACUCCGUG